This 752-nucleotide ribosomal RNA is filed under the name uncultured marine bacterium. RNAcentral's name for it is "bacterial SSU rRNA". It matches the Rfam family "Bacterial small subunit ribosomal RNA", at positions 94 to 883 of the family's 1533-position model. The record is from RNAcentral.
AGUGGCGCACGGGUGAGUAACACGUGGGAACCUGCCUUUAGGUACGGAAUAACGUCUGGAAACGGACGCUAAUACCGUAUAUUUCCUCCGGGAAAAAGGUCCGCCGCCCAAAGAGGGGCCCGCGUCAGAUUAGCUUGUUGGUGAGGUAAUGGCUUACCAAGGCUACGAUCUGUAGUUGGUCUGAGAGGAUGAUCAGCCACACUGGGACUGAGACACGGCCCAGACUCCUACGGGAGGCAGCAGUGGGGAAUAUUGGACAAUGGGGGCAACCCUGAUCCAGCAAUGCCGCGUGUGUGAUGAAGGCCCUAGGGUUGUAAAGCACUUUCAACGGUGACGAUGAUGACGGUAACCGUAGAAGAAGCCCCGGCUAACUUCGUGCCAGCAGCCGCGGUAAUACGAAGGGGGCGAGCGUUGUUCGGAAUUACUGGGCGUAAAGGGCGCGUAGGCGGUCUAUCCAGUUGGGCGUGAAAGCCCUGGGCUCAACCCAGGAAUUGCGUCCAAUACUAAUAGACUAGAGACCGAGAGAGGAUAGUGGAAUUUCCAGUGUAGAGGUGAAAUUCGUAGAUAUUGGAAAGAACACCAGUGGCGAAAGCGACUAUCUGGCUCGGUUCUGACGCUGAGGCGCGAAAGCGUGGGGAGCAAACAGGAUUAGAUACCCUGGUAGUCCACGCCGUAAACGAUGUCUGCUAGGUGUCGGGAGGUAACCUUUCGGUGCCGCAGCUAACGCAUUAAGCAGACCGCCUGGGAAGUAC